UACGAAGGGGGCUAGUGUUGUUCGGAAUUACUGGGCGUAAAGCGCACGUAGGCGGCUUUGUAAGUUAGAGGUGAAAGCCCGGAGCUCAACUCCGGAAUUGCCUUUAAGACUGCAUCACUUGAAUCCGGGAGAGGUGAGUGGAAUUCCGAGUGUAGAGGUGAAAUUCGUAGAUAUUCGGAAGAACACCAGUGGCGAAGGCGGCUCACUGGACCGGUAUUGACGCUGAGGUGCGAAAGCGUGGGGAGCAAACAGG
This 253-nucleotide ribosomal RNA is filed under the name uncultured bacterium. RNAcentral describes it as "partial 16S ribosomal RNA". It matches the Rfam family "Bacterial small subunit ribosomal RNA", at positions 524 to 776 of the family's 1533-position model. The record is from RNAcentral.